Molecule: ribosomal RNA, 778 nt
Filed under: uncultured bacterium
Lineage: Bacteria
Description: bacterial SSU rRNA
Rfam family: Bacterial small subunit ribosomal RNA
Source: RNAcentral
GAUGAACGCUGGCGGCGUGCCUAAUACAUGCAAGUCGAACGCGAGCCUUCGGGCUCGAGUGGCGAACGGGUGAGUAAUACGUAAGCAACCUGGCCUUUACAGGGGGAUAACUGAUGGAAACGUCAGCUAAGACCGCAUAGGUACAGAGAUCGCAUGAUAACUGUAUUAAAAGUGCUACGGGACUGGUAGAGGAUGGGCUUACGGCGCAUUAGCUUGUUGGAGGGGUAACGGCCCACCAAGGCGACGAUGCGUAGCCGACCUGAGAGGGUGACCGGCCACACUGGGACUGAGACACGGCCCAGACUCCUACGGGAGGCAGCAGUAGGGAAUUUUCGGCAAUGGGGGGAACCCUGACCGAGCAACGCCGCGUGAAGGAAGAAGGAAUUCGUUCUGUAAACUUCUGUUAUAAAGGAAGAACGGCACAUAUAGGGAAUGAUAUGUGAGUGACGGUACUUUAUGAGGAAGCCACGGCUAACUACGUGCCAGCAGCCGCGGUAAUACGUAGGUGGCGAGCGUUAUCCGGAAUUAUUGGGCGUAAAGAGGGAGCAGGCGGCAGCAAGGGUCUGUGGUGAAAGGCUGAAGCUUAACUUCAGUGUGCCAGAGAAACCGGGCAGCUAGAGUGCAGGAGAGGAUCGUGGAAUUCCAUGUGUAGCGGUGAAAUGCGUAGAUAUAUGGAGGAACACCAGUGGCGAAGGCGACGAUCUGGACUGCAACUGACGCUCAGUCCCGAAAGCGUGGGGAGCAAAUAGGAUUAGAUACCCUAGUAGUCCACGCCGUA